CUGCGGCGGACGAAGCAUCCGGGUCCGCUGCGCGAGUAAAACUCACCGUAAAUACUCCCUCCUGCGCUGAACACGCCGCUUAAGUGAAGGAGUGAAAAUGUCCACUUGUCGGUCAUGUCACACAGUUGCAGGGGCUGAGGCCUGAGUGCCCCGCCAUUAUGCUCCAGAGGCUUUUUGUCUUCCGCACUCUCCGAGAAGAAAGAACGGGUCAAGUGAGGCUUUGUGGAAGGAUAUUUACAGUUAGAGGGCACGCAGCAGCAGCAUGGCAGGCGUGCAGCGAGGAAUCUCCCGCUGGGCUCAGUGUACGAAUGGUGGCACACAACCUGCCACAUGAACAGCGCAGGUUUUUACCUCGAGGGGAAAAAGGCUUA
Long non-coding RNA from Xiphias gladius (swordfish), 371 nucleotides. RefSeq lists it as uncharacterized. Lineage: Eukaryota; Metazoa; Chordata; Actinopteri; Istiophoriformes; Xiphiidae. The transcript has 3 exons. The record is from RefSeq and is a predicted model, not a curated record.